This is a long non-coding RNA of Pseudophryne corroboree (corroboree frog), 2314 nucleotides long. RefSeq lists it as uncharacterized. NCBI's taxonomy places the organism in Eukaryota, Metazoa, Chordata, Amphibia, Anura, Myobatrachidae. The transcript is spliced from 3 exons. The record is from RefSeq and is a predicted model, not a curated record.
AGCACUGUGGUAGAAACAUGAUCACAUGUAAAUGGCACUUCUGGAGAAAAAAUAUCUUUUUAUUUUUCAUAGGUGAAUAUACAUUUUUAAAAGCACUUUCUGGAUCAUCCCUCCAGCCACUACUGGAUUUUUUUUUUUUUUUUUUACCCCCUGAUCUGGCCUCUUGUGGCGUGACUAUGAUGAUGAUGAAGAAAUGUUACAGAAGCCUGGCAAUGUGAUCUUUAUGUAAUGAGUCAGGAUUCGCUAAGGGAAAGGAGCAGGGCUGAAGAUCAACCUUCCCCAGGAAAGGGAAUGACAAGCAGGAGAUCUGCAGCCUGGGCUCUCACUGGUAUCUGCACAGACUCUCAGGGAUGGAUCACAUAGCCGACAUAUUCCAGGUCUAACUGGUACUGUGCUCAGAUCGACUGGUCCUUCCUCCAGGACCAGCCACCAAUGAAUUGCUGAGAAGAUAUCCCUACUCCCUCCCCUUCCUGGGACUCCACCUCUUUUGUGUUCGGAGGAGUCACUUGCCUUUCUUUUCCUCUGUCCUGACCUGUGACAUAUCUCACGCUCUAUCUUCCAUUGGAGUUGCACAGUGUGCAAAGGUCACCAGUCACAAAACUAAAGAGAGUCUUCUUCAGGAGCGUGUUGAGCCACGAAUUGCCAAGGUCUACUUCACUCUGCAUAGCUGUUUACCGCAGGGAAAAUGAGGGACUUUUGGGGGCAGAUGUGUUUCCAUUACACUACCAUAAUGCCCCUAAAAAUCCUUAUUGCUCUUGCAGUGAUCGUCUGAGCUUCUGGACCCAUCUGAACAUCAGGAUGUAGCUGGGAUGUUUUUGGAAAGCCACUUUAGACCACCACAAUCACUUCCGAGCUUUAUUUUUGGCCACACUUAUAUAUAGAAGAGUAGAUGUGCCAACAUAUACAAAGUAAUUUUGCCAGCGAGGCCAAAGGACACAGGAGAGUGAGCUGUAUUAACUCCUUCAUAACACAUGGGCACUUACUGUAUAUUGCUGAAUGCUUGGCUGCGAUGAGUUGUUAAAAAUUCAAUAAAAGGUUUUAGCUGCAAUUUGCAAUAAAACAUAAUGUAUAUGUAACAGAUCUACCAAGUGUGCAAUUAAAUGAAUAAUAAUGUAAACAUUUAUAAAAGAAAAAGUAUAUAUGUCAUUGUCAACAUGUUAUAGUGUUCAAGACAUACCAAUUGAAUAGUGAAGGCUGUUUUGUGUUUUUCUUGUUGCUACUUAAUUUAGAACAGUGAUUUUCUAGUUUCUAUUUUUGAAGAAAUGAUACACAUGCAUUAUUACCUUACUACUAUAUUGCUGCUUACAUUUUAAAUGUGAUAGGUGCUAGUAAUCUCCACAGCUAAUCGCUGAGUCAUUUCUGUCCCUCUGUCUACACUAACUGUCGGGCCCUGCGACAAUGUCAGGUGUUUUGAAGCCAUUUGCAGGUCUGCUUAUCAUUAUUAUUAUUAUUAUCCUUUAUUCAUAUGGUGCCACAAGGGAACUGCAGUGCCCGUUACACAGUACAUAAACAAGAAAACAGCACUUACAGUUUAAGACAAUAUAGGACAAGUUCGGAAUACCAGAGGUUAGGUGCCAUCAAAGGAAGUAUGGAGUAUAAGACAGUGUAAUACCCCUUUCACACCGCCUGAAGCAGUCACACCCAGGAGCCUGACACGGGAGUUCCCAGGGUGCGACCUGCCUCAGGCACCUUUCACACCGCAGUCAACAGCCCGGCAUAUUUGCAGGUUGGUGAUGUCAGCGGUAACGUGUCGGGGGCGGCGUUUGGAGAUCACAUGAUCUCCAAGUGCCGCCCGUACAUAGAGAGUGAACGGGAAACAGGUCGCAUUGACCCGGCUUCCGUUCACACUGCACAGUGAGCCGGGUUGAACAUGUGUUCAACCCUGCUCACGACCUGGGUUGAAAUACCAGGUCACUUAACCUGGUAUUUCACCCCUGGCACCUUUCACACUGCACAUGAACACGGGUUAUGUGCGUUCAUGUGUCAAUAACCCGUGUUCAGGGGUGCUGUGUGGAAGGGGUAUAAGUAACAGAAGGAAAGGCACAUAAUGUUUGUAGGUCAGGAAGAUCAUUACUAUGUUUGUUAAUACAUAUCAUGAGGUAGUAGUAUGAACACAAGGUGGAUUAGUUUACCAGAAUAAAAAUAUAUAGUUUAUUUGAUUAUAACAGUGGUUGCACUAUUCACCCAAUCUUUAGUAGUAAAAGUAUUAUUCUGUGAAACGCAUUAUGCAGAAAAAAUAUGUUUUCUUAAAUUAAUGUUUAUGUUUUCUAUUUCUUAUUAAGCAUGAAUUAAAAUGAAAACAAUAAAAAAUAAA